UCCAGACUUUGAUUCUGGCUCAGGAUGAACGCUGGCGGCAUGCCUAAUACAUGCAAGUCGAACGAGAGGAAGGAAAGCUUGCUUUUCUGAAUCUAGUGGCGAACGGGUGAGUAACACGUAGGUAACCUGCCCAUGUGCCCGGGAUAACUUCUGGAAACGGAUGCUAAAACCGGAUAGGUAGCAGACAAGCAUUUGACUGCUAUUAAAGUGGCUAAGGCCAUGAACAUGGAUGGACCUGCGGUGCAUUAGCUGGUUGGUGAGGUAACGGCCCACCAAGGCGACGAUGCAUAGCCGGCCUGAGAGGGCGGACGGCCACAUUGGGACUGAGACACGGCCCAAACUCCUACGGGAGGCAGCAGUAGGGAAUUUUCGUCAAUGGGGGGAACCCUGAACGAGCAAUGCCGCGUGAGUGAGGAAGGUCUUCGGAUCGUAAAGCUCUGUUGUAAGAGAAAAACGACAUUCAUAGGGAAUGAUGAGUGAGUGAUGGUAUCUUACCAGAAAGUCACGGCUAACUACGUGCCAGCAGCCGCGGUAAUACGUAGGUGGCGAGCGUUAUCCGGAAUGAUUGGGCGUAAAGGGUGCGUAGGUGGCAGAACAAGUCUGGAGUAAAAGGUAUGGGCUCAACCCGUACUGGCUCUGGAAACUGUUCAGCUAGAGAACAGAAGAGGACGGCGGAACUCCAUGUGUAGCGGUAAAAUGCGUAGAUAUAUGGAAGAACACCGGUGGCGAAGGCGGCCGUCUGGUCUGUUGCUGACACUGAAGCACGAAAGCGUGGGGAGCAAAUAGGAUUAGAUACCCUAGUAGUCCACGCCGUAAACGAUGAGAACUAGGUGUUGGGGGAAUAACUCAGUGCCGCAGUUAACGCAAUAAGUUCUCCGCCUGGGGAGUAUGCACGCAA
This 898-nucleotide ribosomal RNA is filed under the name uncultured Bacillota bacterium. RNAcentral describes it as "bacterial SSU rRNA". It matches the Rfam family "Bacterial small subunit ribosomal RNA", at positions 1 to 891 of the family's 1533-position model. The record is from RNAcentral. Lineage: Bacteria; Bacillati; Bacillota.